GCGUGUGAAGAGCGAGCCGAGAUCCGGAGAUCGAUCGAUAGGACGUCGUUCAUCGAAGGGCCGCCGUCGCUGCCGCUCUCGCGCCGACGUCAACCUGGCGGCCGCUCCCUCCACGGCAGUAGUACGUUCCCCUGGUCCGCCUCUUCUCCCCCUUCCACUUCUUCCCCACCGACCGCCACGCCCAGCCGGUCCGGGUCCGCCUCGUCGUCCCGCUGCCCAAGGCCGCCAAGCAGUAGGGGUAGCGGAUGGAGAUGGUGGGCGAGAAGGUCGCCGAAGACCUCCGCCGGGCCCUGUGCAUGCCGAUGUUGAGCCGGCCGGGCGAGACCGACGGGACGGGGCAGCUGCUCAAGGAGGCGGACGCGCGCGAGCAGCUGGCCCUCUGCCGCGUGAGCGUGAGGAGGAGGAGGAGCGUGGCGCACGUGCACGUCCGGCCACCGGUGGUGGUCGUCGUGCCGAUGAGGAAGCGGGGCACGUGGGCGCGGUCCCAGUGGAGGACUAGCUGGCUGGCUGGUAGCUCGGGGCCGCCGGGAAGCACGCACGCACGCGUACCGCUGACACCCGUGGCCUCGAGCGCACGCCCCUCCUCAGGGUAGACACGUGGCCUCUGCUGCGUGCACAUGUGAUGUGCAUGUAUCUCUCCGUCUCUCUAUGCCUCUACGAACUCUCCGUCAUCCACUAAUCAGAUACUAGGUAUAACGAAUACUAAAGCCGGAACAAGAAGACUAAGAAUGUGUACGUACACAUAGUGAUCUAAUCAAUUGUCUGGGCUACAUAUUAGUUGUCAACUUAAGCUAGUCAGCAAUGUCGGCCCAAAUGUAUAUGAUGUUGAACUAGACGAAGGGUAGCAAAAAGAAAAACAUUUGAAGGUCGAGUUUAACUUGUUCAAGCUUAAGCCGUCACGAUUACGGUUAGCGAUCAUCGGGUUCAAGCUUUUGCCGUGCGUCGCUCGUAUGUCGUCGUCGCGUGGGUCGCUCUUCCUCAGCUCCUCCUCCGGGACUGACGUUCACUGUAUCGGGCUGCCGCACGUGCGCGACGCACAAGACAUGCAUAGU
RNAcentral lists this ribosomal RNA (1052 nucleotides) under Triticum aestivum (bread wheat). Its description in RNAcentral is "partial small subunit ribosomal RNA". The record is from RNAcentral. Lineage: Eukaryota; Viridiplantae; Streptophyta; Magnoliopsida; Poales; Poaceae.